Molecule: long non-coding RNA, 277 nt
Organism: Mizuhopecten yessoensis (Yesso scallop)
Lineage: Eukaryota; Metazoa; Mollusca; Bivalvia; Pectinida; Pectinidae
Exons: 3
Source: RefSeq, a predicted model, not a curated record
ACCAGUUGAGCAACCACCUAAGACAUUUGUAUUGAAGGAGAAAUUUGAAUAUUUCAAACCAUCAGUCCAGGUAGAGAUGGAAAAUUACGACAAACCUGACACAGUCACAGAAAUCUUUAUACGAGGGUGGAAGAUAGAUGAGACAAUGAUGGCUACAUUUGCUCAGUGCUGGCCUGUCAUGGAGAAACUGCACACAAUCAAUCUGUGGAACACUGGUUUGGCGGGAGAGACGCUCACCAUGAUGGCUAACUGUAUCCCAAACAUCGUCAACCUCAGG